GGUCAAGUGAAGAAGCGCAUACGGUGGAUGCCUUGGCAGUCAGAGGCGAUGAAAGACGUGGUAGCCUGCGAAAAGCUUCGGGGAGUCGGCAAACAGACUUUGAUCCGGAGAUCUCUGAAUGGGGGAACCCACCUAGGAUAACCUAGGUAUCUUGUACUGAAUCCAUAGGUGCAAGAGGCGAACCAGGGGAACUGAAACAUCUAAGUACCCUGAGGAAAAGAAAUCAACCGAGAUUCCCUUAGUAGUGGCGAGCGAACGGGGAUUAGCCCUUAAGCUUCAUUGAUUUUAGCGGAACGCUCUGGAAAGUGCGGCCAUAGUGGGUGAUAGCCCCGUACGCGAAAGGAUCUUUGAAGUGAAAUCGAGUAGGACGGAGCACGAGAAACUUUGUCUGAACAUGGGGGGACCAUCCUCCAAGGCUAAAUACUACUGACUGACCGAUAGUGAACCAGUACCGUGAGGGAAAGGCGAAAAGAACCCCGGAGAGGGGAGUGAAAUAGAACCUGAAACCGUAUGCGUACAAGCAGUGGGAGCCUACUUGUUAGGUGACUGCGUACCUUUUGUAUAAUGGGUCAGCGACUUAUAUUCAGUGGCAAGCUUAACCGUAUAGGGUAGGCGUAGCGAAAGCGAGUCUUAAUAGGGCGUUUAGUCGCUGGGUAUAGACCCGAAACCGGGCGAUCUAUCCAUGAGCAGGUUGAAGGUUAGGUAACACUGACUGGAGGACCGAACCCACUCCCGUUGAAAAGGUAGGGGAUGACUUGUGGAUCGGAGUGAAAGGCUAAUCAAGCUCGGAGAUAGCUGGUUCUCCUCGAAAGCUAUUUAGGUAGCGCCUCAUGUAUCACUCUGGGGGGUAGAGCACUGUUUCGGCUAGGGGGUCAUCCCGACUUACCAAACCGAUGCAAACUCCGAAUACCCAGAAGUGCCGAGCAUGGGAGACACACGGCGGGUGCUAACGUCCGUCGUGAAAAGGGAAACAACCCAGACCGCCAGCUAAGGUCCCAAAGUUGUGGUUAAGUGGUAAACGAUGUGGGAAGGCUUAGACAGCUAGGAGGUUGGCUUAGAAGCAGCCACCCUUUAAAGAAAGCGUAAUAGCUCACUAGUCGAGUCGGCCUGCGCGGAAGAUGUAACGGGGCUCAAACCACACACCGAAGCUGCGGGUGUCACGUAAGUGACGCGGUAGAGGAGCGUUCUGUAAGCCUGUGAAGGUGAGUUGAGAAGCUUGCUGGAGGUAUCAGAAGUGCGAAUGCUGACAUGAGUAACGACAAUGGGUGUGAAAAACACCCACGCCGAAAGACCAAGGGUUCCUGCGCAACGUUAAUCGACGCAGGGUUAGUCGGUUCCUAAGGCGAGGCUGAAAAGCGUAGUCGAUGGGAAACAGGUUAAUAUUCCUGUACUUCUGGUUACUGCGAUGGAGGGACGGAGAAGGCUAGGCCAGCUUGGCGUUGGUUGUCCAAGUUUAAGGUGGUAGGCUGAAAUCUUAGGUAAAUCCGGGGUUUCAAGGCCGAGAGCUGAUGACGAGUCGUCUUUUAGAUGACGAAGUGGUUGAUGCCAUGCUUCCAAGAAAAGCUUCUAAGCUUCAGGUAACCAGGAACCGUACCCCAAACCGACACAGGUGGUCGGGUAGAGAAUACCAAGGCGCUUGAGAGAACUCGGGUGAAGGAACUAGGCAAAAUGGCACCGUAACUUCGGGAGAAGGUGCGCCGGCUAGGGUGAAGGAUUUACUCCGUAAGCUCUGGCUGGUCGAAGAUACCAGGCCGCUGCGACUGUUUAUUAAAAACACAGCACUCUGCAAACACGAAAGUGGACGUAUAGGGUGUGACGCCUGCCCGGUGCCGGAAGGUUAAUUGAUGGGGUUAGCGCAAGCGAAGCUCUUGAUCGAAGCCCCGGUAAACGGCGGCCGUAACUAUAACGGUCCUAAGGUAGCGAAAUUCCUUGUCGGGUAAGUUCCGACCUGCACGAAUGGCGUAACGAUGGCGGCGCUGUCUCCACCCGAGACUCAGUGAAAUUGAAAUCGCUGUGAAGAUGCAGUGUAUCCGCGGCUAGACGGAAAGACCCCGUGAACCUUUACUGUAGCUUUGCACUGGACUUUGAGCCUGCUUGUGUAGGAUAGGUGGGAGGCUUUGAAGCGUGGACGCCAGUUCGCGUGGAGCCAUCCUUGAAAUACCACCCUGGCAUGCUU
RNAcentral lists this ribosomal RNA (2176 nucleotides) under Pseudomonas aeruginosa. RNAcentral's name for it is "partial 23S ribosomal RNA". It matches the Rfam family "Bacterial large subunit ribosomal RNA", at positions 1 to 2215 of the family's 2925-position model. The record is from RNAcentral. Lineage: Bacteria; Pseudomonadati; Pseudomonadota; Gammaproteobacteria; Pseudomonadales; Pseudomonadaceae.